RNAcentral lists this ribosomal RNA (545 nucleotides) under Tor putitora (golden mahseer). RNAcentral describes it as "partial large subunit ribosomal RNA". It matches the Rfam family "Bacterial large subunit ribosomal RNA", at positions 1912 to 2608 of the family's 2925-position model. Lineage: Eukaryota; Metazoa; Chordata; Actinopteri; Cypriniformes; Cyprinidae. The record is from RNAcentral.
GUGACCACAAGUUCAACGGCCGCGGUAUUUUGACCGUGCAAAGGUAGCGCAAUCACUUGUCUUUUAAAUAGAGACCUGUAUGAAUGGCUAAACGAGGGCUUAACUGUCUCCCUUUUCAGGUCAGUGAAAUUGAUCUACCCGUGCAGAAGCGGGUAUAACAAUACAAGACGAGAAGACCCUUUGGAGCUUAAGGUACAAAACUCAACCACGUCAAGCAACUUAACAAAAAGUAAAAACUUUGUGAAACAUGAGAUUUUACCUUCGGUUGGGGCGACCGCGGAGGAAAAAAAAGCCUCCAAGUGGACCGGGACAAACUCCUAAAACCAAGAGAAACAUCUCUAAGCCACAGAACAUCUGACCAAACAUGAUCCGGCCACCAGGACCGAUCAACGAACCAAGUUACCCUAGGGAUAACAGCGCAAUCCCCUCCCAGAGUCCAUAUCGACGAGGGGGUUUACGACCUCGAUGUUGGAUCAGGACAUCCUAAUGGUGCAGCCGCUAUUAAGGGUUCGUUUGUUCAACGAUUAAAGUCCUACAUGAUCUGG